GAAACCGUUGAUUUUUGAGAGAUAUACUACGAUCAUUUUAAGACAAACCGUCGUUAAAGUACAUUUUGAGAAACAUACCACCACAAUUGAGACGAACCAUCAUUGAAAGGGAGUUUGAUAACAAUCAGGUAGCGUGUGAAUUUAUUCUCCUAUGCUCUACACUCACACACUUACAGAACCUUUGGCGGCAGCCUCCUUCCUCGGUGGUGUCCUCACUUGGCAGUAAUAUCCCGACCCAGCAGCAUCAAGCGCCCGUGCCUCCAUGUUGUGCACGCUUCCUGCUCUGCUUGAGCCCCUAUUCCACACAACUGCGAGUGUCGUGACCUCUGAGCAACCACAUCGAGAGUCGCGAGUGCUUCCUCCGUGCAACCAUUGACGAACAACCAGGCAUGCUUCCUCCUUUGUCGCGCGCAACCAUUGAGAGCACUACCUCCACCGCCAGAGCUUCCUCCGUGUGUGAGCCACGACAAGCCUCCUCUGCGCGAGCCACCAUGAGCACCGCUCCUGCUCUACCACGCCUCUGCAUGAGCCGCGAUGACUCCUCCUCCACUAGCCUCGGCGAGCCACUGUGAUGUGAGUUGAUUUUAGAGUUGUCCAUUUUAAUGGUGACACUUUGUUUAUGAUUUGAAUUUUAACAAUUAAGGGGUGAAACCCACCCAGAGAAGAUUCUCACUGGACACGAACUUAACCAAGUGGUUAAGUAAGUGUGAAGGUUCACUUCUAAAGGCAAAAGAAAAAGCACACAAUAUGUUGAUAAUGAUGAUGUGCUGCGGAAUUGAAAGACAUAACAAGGAAACAAUAAAGAUAAAGGAGAUCGAGUGGAAAAUGAAGCAAAACAAUAACACAAACACAAGAUAGAUGGCAAAAUGGAAAAGGGAAUGAAAAGGAUGAAGGAUAGGAAAAGGUUAUGGAUAUUGGAAUGGAGGAACACGCCACUUCGAGCGUGUGGGAUCUCCAAGAUAAGUGAUGAGUGUCACACCAGUACAAAAAGGUAGAUUAACGACGGUUGAAAUCAACAUUUAAAGACGGUUCCAAACCCAUCGUUAUUACGGGUGUCGUUAAAAGGUGGGGGUUUUUCACAACGGUUCUGGAGCCGUCGUUAAAACUAAGACCUAUAACGACGGUUGUAGAAACCGUAGUUAAAGGUCACUAGUAAUUUUAUUUUGAAAAAUUUAAGGGACUUUUAAAGACGCUUCCCAGAGGAACCGUCAUUGUAAGUAUGCCUUUUAAAGACGGUUCCAAGUGGAAUCGUCGUUAUAUGUAAUGAUUAAAAAAAUUGUUUUUUAAUAAAUCUCAAACCUGCAUAAAAUUUUCAAUUCCAAAAAAUAAAAACAUUUAAAAUCAUAAUUUAAAUAUAAAAAUUACAUACAACAAAUUAUAACAUUAUACAAAAAAGUUUUGCUAAUAUAUGACAAAAUUUGUCAUUGUAAUGAUUUAUCUAUACUAGAGUGUUAUACAGGGUUACGAAAUACUUUGACUAUGUUGUUCUCACAUACUCCAAUGCUUCUAAAUCUAGCGGGUGUUGGUCGUUGAACAAUUGGGACAUUUGAAAUUUUUUGAAUUAGUGCAUGAAUAAUAAAUCUCAAAUUUUAAAGUGUUUAUUGUAUUGAGGUAUUACCUGAUCCCAACCUUUCUUAAUUUCAGCUUGCAAAAUAGUCAACAUCCACUGCAUAACAUAAUAAUCGCACUCAUAAUUUCCAGGUUGCAUGUUGGACUGCAUGUGAAAAUAAAUGUAUUAAAUGAAUGAGUGAAAAACAUUAAAUUAAGUGAACAAAUAUACUUUAAAUCCCUUAAGGUACAUCCAAGUGAGUUUUUGUGCAUUUGAAGUUCUCCUCCCUCACAACAUAUUAUAUCCAGAGUAAACACUAAAAUAAUAAGAUUUCAUGUUAGAAUACAUAACAUUAUAUAAUAUAUAAGUAAUAAUAAAUGUUAAAUGAAAUUGUCGUACCUAUCUAUAAUGUUUUUAAAAUAGGUAGGAGGUUUUUAUGCAAGGAGCAAAACCAUGUAGGGGUAUGAUCUUGAACAGAUAUGAUCAAUAGUUGCCAAUGACGCCUGUAUAACAAAUCAGUUAAUUAGUUUCUCUUAUUUUAAUAAUUUAUUAAAACUUAUUUAAUAAAUAAGAACUUACUCAUGGAUGUACGGAGCAAAAUAAAUGUGUUUUCCACCAUUCUUUAAGGCAGUGGUGAUGUAUGUUUGUGUUUCUGACUUCUUGUUUCCAAUUGAUUGAGUGAUUUGAGGGUCUAAAAACCCAUAUAUAUUGUGUUUCCCCUCAUCAAAGCAUAAUCCAAAAAGAUACCUAAAUUUCAAUAAGUUAGUACUAAUAUAUUUAAUAAAUUAAAAGUAUAAAGAUUUUAAUAUUUGAACUUACAUAAUCCAUAAUUGCAUAAUUUUUACGUUAAUCUCUUGAUCUCUGGCUGCAAGGUCCAACAAAUCAGACAUGUGAACAUACAACGGUAGAUUACUAUGUCUUCCAAAAACAUUGACAUCCCAUGGAACCUCUAAGACGGUUGUAUCUAAUUCUGUAGCAACUUCCACCAAUGCCGUCACAAGAUCAUCAAUGGAGAAUAUUUUCUUCUUUCGCAGAGGCAAUUUUGUCUUAGGUUCCUGCUACUCAUCAACAAACAAACAAAUACUUAAAUUAGUUAGAAUGUAAUAUAUCUAAUAUAUAAUUCUAUUAGUAUUAGUGCAAAGAUAUACCAUAGAGUCUAUAGGUCUGACGAGAUGUCUAGGCCAGGCAACGAAAGUAUGUAAUGCCUCUGCUACAAUUGUGACUUCUGAUGUCGACACAGGAGCUGCAAGAUCACCAUAAAAGACCUUCUCCACCGUGAACUUCAUGAAAUUAGAAGGAAGAGACACAUUGUGUAACAUUUUGACCCCUUCAUAACACUUACCCAAGGCAACGAAUCGGGUCAAAGAAUUACACUCAACAUAUAACUCGCAUUGGCUAGUUGAGCCAAAGUCAUCCCUCGAUAGAUCAACCGCCGAACAACUGCCUUUAGUGUUGACUUUCUUAAUAGGAGGCGGAACUGGUUCAUCUUCUACCAUAAUAGGUGGUUGCUGAGAGAGUCAUAAACCAUCCCACCGCGUUUUGAACUCCAUUUCCAUUCGCACAUUAAACUCCUCCAUGAAGCUUUCUUUAAACUCUUGAGUUACCUCAGCCUUUAACUGUUCACGUAAUUGUAGUAAAUACUCUUAGCUAGGUUGAUUGAACGAUUGUUCCUUGCUAUGUGAUGAAGGUCCAAAGUAUGAGCGAAUCCCAACCCCAUAUCCAGCUACACGAACACGUCCAGGGUGCUUAGGUCGUCCGAGAGCAACAUUAAGAAUAUCAUUGCGACCACAUGGAUUAAAAGUCCGCUGUGUUGAUUGCUUAGCAAGAGAAUCCAAAAAACAAGUGAAAAGAAAUUGUCAAACUUCAACACAUUGAAUUUAAAAUAACACAUAGAAAACAUAUUUCUUACAAUUCGUUCAACUGUUUCUUCUGUAGACUUAGAACUCCAUGUCCCUAAUGGGUUUAUACGAGCACCCUUCCACAUCUCAUGUCGGGGUGGUGGGGAUGGAGGCCUCAAAGAAUCUACACUAUUCAUUUCCUCAAUGGAAGUAGAACGUGCUUUAAUCUUUUCUUCAAACAUCUUUUGCUCUAACAACUUAUAACCACCACGGGACAAUAAGUGUGGGGUAUCAUUAUGUGCCUGACUGACUUUUUCUUUGUUCCAAACCUCCUAUCAUAACAUUCAAAAUUUAAUAAUACGUUAAUAUAAACUAUAUUCAAAUAUAAAAGUGAUAUUAACCUGCCAUUUUUCAGUUUGUCGAAUCUCACAAAUUGCUGCCAAGUUUCUUCAUCAAGGGAUGCAUAUUUUGUACAAGGAUUUUCUUCAUUCCUUUUACCAUAUAUAUAAUCUGUUGUCAAUUUUGAUUUGAACUGACGAAAUUUGACACCCACAUCAGAAAGAACCUUCGCUUUCAAGGUUUCCACAUUCAGGAUAUUGUAAUGCGUCUACAUUAUUUGAAAGAAUUAGUUCAUAAACAAGAACAAAAUAUAAAAGAACUUUAGAUUGAACAAAGUAAAAACAAUUACAUACCAGAAUAUCUUGCCAAAUCAUGUUUUUCUCGUGGUCAGUCACGUGAUCCCAGGACUCAGUUAAGAUAAAGAUCCUUUCACGAGACAGUACUCCGAGAUAACUCCUAUAUUUCUUUGCAUGUUGCCCAGUGGCCACACCAGUGUGGAUAUCAAUAGACAAAGGUAUUUUGUCAUCUUUAUUUAUCUUUUUAAACAUAUUCUUUAAUCUAGUAGGUCAUCUACCAGUUUUUGAACGAGAAACUUUAUCAUCUGCCAUGUUCCUGUUAUCAAGAAUAUGAUAAGCAUCAAGAAUAUGAAAUAUAAUUAAAAUUAUAUAUUGUAAAACUAAACAUGAAGCACAUGCACAUACACAUACAUAUUCCUUCGUCAUGAUCAUUUCGAGUUGCAUGUACAAGAUCAGCAACAUCCUCGUACUCUUUAUUGAUGGUCGUUCUUGUAAGUGAUUCAAUCUCACAAAUGUCGUUGUUUGUAUCUUCUAGGUCAUUAUGCUGUUUUUUUCCAUGUAGCACAACAAACCAGUGGUCAGACGUAGGAUCUUGGAUAUAGAAAACUUGGUAAGCUUGAUGUGCCAUUAUGAAUGGUUCGUCAUGAUAACCUAUCUUUCGAAAGUCAACCAAAGUCAUUCUUGAUUCAUCAACUUUGACACCAAUCUUAUUGUCAACCCACUUGCAUUUGAAAACAAGUACAGUAAACUUGGUAUAAUUAACUUCCCAAAUCUCUACUAUGACACCAUAAUAAGACAUUGAUCCCACAACAGGAUUUUGAUCCUUUGUAGUUGAAAACUGCAUAGACUAUGCCUCUAAGGUGACUUCGCUAUUUUGCAUUGUACUCCUAUCAUCUCGAGACUUUGUGUAAAACAAACAACCAUUUACUUCAUAGCGAGAACAACAUAAAACAUCAAAUUUGAGACCAUUUGCAAGCCAUGUUAAUGUUUCAGAUGCUGAUGGAUCAUUCAUUAUUUGUUGUUUAAACCAUGACAUGAAAGUUUUGUUAUGCUCAAUUAACACCCAUUUUUCUGAUUGUCUUGGAUUUUUAUAAUUGACAAUGUCUUUGUGUGUAUCUAAGUAUGGUAACACCUCAUCAAUGUGAUUUAAGAUAUACAAGUGUGCUUGCAGAACCUCUUCUCUAGAUUUGCUUAUGACAUGUACACCUUUUGAAGAUCUACUUAUGAAUCUACGAGAGUGCCAACCUUUUUCAGGAACUCCUAUACAUUUGGCUUUUCACAUGUACUCGGAACAAAACUCAAUAGAUUNNNNNNNNNNNNNNNNNNNNNNNNNNNNNNNNNNNNNNNNNNNNNNNNNNNNNNNNNNNNNNNNNNNNNNNNNNNNNNNNNNNNNNNNNNNNNNNNNNNNAUCUUUCAAUAAUGGAAGCUUCCAGACGACAUUGAUUCUUCACAUAUCCCUUCAAAAUCUUCAUGUAUCUUUCAACUGGAUACAUCCAUCGCAUAUAAACUGGCCCACACAAUCUGAUUUCUCUUACAAGAUGAACAACCAAGUGUACCAUAAUAUCAAAAAAAGAUGGAGGAAAAAACAUCUCGAGUUGACACAAGAUAACAAUUAUUUCUUCUUCAAGUUCAUCCCACUUCUGAGAGUUAAUCUCUUUACUACAUAUGGAAUUGAAAAAUGAGCACAGUGGAGCGAUUGUAUGCCUAACAUUUUUUGGCAAGAUUCCACGAAUAGCCACCGGUAGUAAUUGUUGCAUUAGAACGUGACAAUCAUGUGACUUUAAGCCAAUUAGUUUCAAAUCAUUCAUAGAUACAAGACUCUUCACAUUUGAAGAGUAGCCUUGUGGUACCUUAACACCUUUAAGACAUUCACAAAAACUUGUUUUCUCUUUAUUUGACAAAAUGUAACACGCUGUAGGCAAGUAUGUACGUUUACCAACUUUUCUCGGUGCCAAUUCCUCUCGUAUAUUCAUCUCAAUCAAAUCCAGACGUGCAUUCACACCAUCCUUUGUUUUGCCUUUAAUGUUCAGAAGUGUUCCUAUUAGACUGUCACACACAUUCUUUUCUACGUGCAUUACAUCUAGACAGUGUCUGACAUCUAACUUACACCAAUACGGAAGAUAAAAAAAGAUUGAUCUCUUCUUCCAUAUUUCACUCACAGUUGGCUUCUUCUUCAUUAUUCCAAAAGUCACAUUAACAUUUUUUAUUUUUUCAUAAAUUUCAACACCACUUAAGGGUGUCGGACAAAUGUCAUGUUCUUGGUAUCCGUCAAAAGCUUUUUUCAAUCUACGAUACAAAUGAUAUUUCUUUAGAAAUCCAUGAUGCCCAAGAUACACGGUUUUUCUUCUGUGUUUCAACUGCUCAUAAGAUGUCUUGUCUUGACAUAUUGGACAUGCUCUAUGACCUUUCACACUAUAAGCUGACAAGUUCCCAUAUGCAGGGAAGUCAUUGAUAGUACAAAACAACAUUGCAUGCAAUCGGAAAGAUUCAUUCUUAAACGCGUCAAACACAUCAACCCCUUCAUUCCACAAUAACUUCAAAUCUUCAACCAGUGGAUUAAGAUAAACAUCUAUGUCAUUUCCAGGUUGAUUUGGACCAGAGAUCAUCAUAGAUAGCAUCAUGUAUUUGCGCUUCAUACACAAAGCAGGAGGUGAGUUGUAAAUCACUAACAAAACGAGCCAUGAACUAUGAUUACUACUUAAGUUUCCAAAGGGAUUCAUUCCAUCAGUUGCCAAUCCAAGUCUUAAGUUUCUUGAUUAUUUUCCAAAUACAGGAAAUUCUUUAUCAAUAUUCUUCCACUGCAAAGAAUCAGCAGGAUAACGAAGUAGUCCAUCACAUUUUCUAUUAUCUGCAUGCCACCUAAGGUUUUUAGCGUCAUCUGCAUUUGCAAACAAACGCUUAAGCCUUGGAAUUAUUGGAAGAUACCAAACAACCUUAGCAGGAGGACCUUCCUUUGUGAAUUCAUCAAUUUCAUCAUUCUGACCAACUUUAACCUUAUAACGUGACAAACCACACCUGGGACAUCUUGUUAAAUCUUCAUACUCAUUUAUGUAUAAAAUACAAUCGUUAGGACAUGAAUGUAUUUUUCUAUAUUCCAUACCCAUUGGACAAAGUAUUUUUUUGCCUCAUAAUUUUGAUUGGGCAAGGUAUUUCCUUCUGGAAGCAUGUCCUUAAGUAAUUGAAGCAAUUCUGUAAAACUUUUGUCGGUCCAUCCAUUCAUUGCCUUCAAAUUCAUCAACCUUAACACUGCUGAUAAUCGUGUGAAAUUAGUUGAACCAGUAUACAAAGGAGUCUCUGCAUCAUUAGACAUAUUUUCGAAAACUGCAUUAGCAAAAGAUUCUGAUCACAUAUCACGAAUCAUGUCUUCUAUUCUAUCAUCCAUUGAGAAAUGAACUUCCUCGGAACCUCCGUGCACACUUGGCAAGUCUAACAAUUCACUAUGCCACAUCCAUGUUGUAUAACUUUUCAAAAAUCCAUCACACAAAAGAUGUUCUCUAAUUUCAGAAACACUCAAUAUCCUUCCAUUUAAAAAAUUGACACAAGGGCACCUUAUCCUUACUCCAUUCUUAUAACUAACGGCAUUAUGUUCUGCGAAGUGUAUGAAUUCUUCCACCCCAUUUUCGUAAGUAUCACUUAUUCGUGGUGUAUUAAUCCAACUCCGAUCCAUAGAACUGUUAAACUAAGAACCAGUGUAGACUUAGAACCAAUGUGUUCAAUAAGUAAUCAUUAAAAAAUAAAUCAAAAUUGCCGAAGGUCGGACACCUCCAGACUCAGAACCAGUGCGUUCAAUAUGUCAAAACAAUAUAUAACUAAUAAAAACUAAAUCAAAAUUGUCGAAGGUCGGAUACCUCCGGACUCAAAAUCAGUGCACUCAAUAUCUCAAAACAAUAUAUAAUCAUUGAAAAUUAAAUCAAAAUUGCCGAAGGUCGGACACCUUCGGAGUCAGAAUCAGUUCGUUUAAUAUAUAGAAUCAGUAGCUAACUAUAAAAAAAAUACUUUUAAAAUAUAGUUAAUAAUAUAUAAAAAUAUACUAACCUUAGUACAGCCGGCGAUCGCGGUCGGAGGGUACGGUGGCGCGGCACGGAGGUCACUGGUCGGUGGACGGUAGGUGCGGAACGACGGUCGUCUAGGCGCCAACGAGUAUGGCGAAUGCGGGCGGCAGUCGUGGGCGUGGGGUCGCGCGGAUGGGGGCGACGGUCGUGGGCGCACGCGGACGCCAGGGGGUGACGGUCGCGGUAGGGGGGCGCACGGUCGGCGGUGCGGGGUCGCGCGGGCGGGACAGCGUCGGCGGCAGGGUCGGUCGGCGAUGGAACUUGGUAGUCUGGCGGUAGUAAGGGUUGCGGAGGCACGAUUUGUGAGAAAGAAUGUAAGGUUUGUGAGAAUGUGAGAGUCUAAAAAUCUGGAAGAACCGUUAUAGAAACGCAGCUUUUAACGACGGUUCUUGGCGCGAACCGUCGUUGUAUCUUUACCGUAUGCUUUUAAUGACGGUUUUGGCGCGAACCAUCGUUAAAAGUCUAAAAAAAUUGAAAAAAAUUACAGGAUUGCCACCGCGUCGUUUUUAACGAUGGUUGUCACCAAACCGUCUUUGAAGGGUGUCGUUAUUGAAGAAUAUUGUACUAGUGCCACCAUUUGAAGAGGUCUCACUCUCAUAAGAUAAGACCAAUGAAGAGAGCACACAAGUCUCACUCACAAUUUGUGCAGAAUUUCCUUUCUAUUUCAAAAUUCAAUGUACCAAUAAUGAGGCAAGACACCCUAUUUAUAGGAAAGGGUGCCUUGAUGGGCAAGUUGAGCAAGGGUGGAAAGGGAAAAGAGAGGGACGGCCAAGGGGAUUAACUAAGGUCAAAACCACCCCUUUGGCUAGGUUUCUAGAAGGUAGGGCAACCUUCCUUCCUAAAGGGCUAGGCACAAGUUAAAAUGAUAACCACACCCUCCAUAUUAUGCUAAAAGAACCUAUUUUUCUAUUUGGACCCGUAAAGUGAGCUCAAAUUAUUUACAACAUGUUUUUAUUUUUAAAAAGACCAGAAGAAAGAACAGUUGAUGUUCUGGCCUAUGCCCAAUUCUUCUUCUUGUGAGGUCCUUCUUAUAUUUGGUGGGGCUUUGGUUUGACUGUUGAGAUGACUGCUCACAGUGUGAUUUGUCUCUUGAGUCCUUGAUCAUCAUCUUCUUGGCUUCUUGGAAUGCAUCAUGCCCUCUGAUAAGUGUCUAAUUUCAGUAAUAUUUCAUAUUAAAAUAUAGACACUUAUGAGGAUUUAUUGCUAAUUUACAUAUAAAAUAAUCCUUCAUUUAUGAAUUUAUACCUUUUUACAUUUUUUAUGAGCUUUAUUUGAAUAAGAACAUUUUAUUCCCAAAUUUGGUGUCAAUUGCAGAUUUUUAGGGAGAAUUGAAGAUUUGGAGUAAAGGAGAAUAAUUUGAGCAAAAAGAGAAAGCUGGAAGGUCCCAUAAUGGAAAUAGAUGCAAAGAAAGAUACAGGAAGCGACCUAAUCCUAGAAAACUAGGAUAAAUAGGGGCUAGAGGCUCAACCCUAGUGUGUCAGAUAUAGAGGAAAACACCAUAGAGUGAAUUGUAACCCAACUGGGAGAAUGGAAGGUGCUAGAAGUAUGCGUGGCUAAUUCUACCCUUUGGGAUUGGGAGUAGUCUGUUCAAACUCUUAUGUAUUGAGGUGAUAUUUUAUAUAUUAAUAUUCGGUUCUUGAUUGAUUAUUGGUAUUGUUGUUUUACUUUUAACUUUCCG
Molecule: long non-coding RNA, 9752 nt
Filed under: Phaseolus vulgaris (common bean)
Lineage: Eukaryota; Viridiplantae; Streptophyta; Magnoliopsida; Fabales; Fabaceae
Description: long non-coding RNA (PVUL_LNC004993)
Source: RNAcentral